Molecule: long non-coding RNA, 1315 nt
Filed under: Linum usitatissimum (flax)
Lineage: Eukaryota; Viridiplantae; Streptophyta; Magnoliopsida; Malpighiales; Linaceae
Description: long non-coding RNA (LUSI_LNC004141)
Source: RNAcentral
AAUGAGCCGCCCUUUUUCUUUUUCUUCCAGAAUCUCUUUUGACCGUUGCCCCCCAUCCUCCUCCUCCUCCUCCGUUCACUCUCCACUUCCCGUCUCUCUCCUUCUUCCUCCGUCAUCCGCCGUUUCUCCCACCCCAAGCUACGCUUACUCCUCUCCGCCGCCGCAUUCCCGCUAACAUUAUCCACAUCCCCUCCUUUUCCACCUCCUUCGUCCGCUCCCAAAUUGAUUAAGCUAGCUAGCUGAUUAGCGCUUUCUUCCAUCGAAAUACUGUAACCAUAUCGCUUCUCAUUGCUCUCUGCUCUUUGCUGUUAAUCUUUCACUGAAUUUGGCUGAAAACGGAUUUACUUCCAUCACUUGGUCUCUCGGCGGGCUGCCUUGGAUUCUCCUCUACCUACGUACGUUUAUCAUUAAAUUAUUUUUUAGUUUUACAUUUUAUAAUACUAUACUAGUCUGCUACUACUGACGACAAUCUCGGUAUGUAUGCUCGUUAGGGUUCCGAUCAAAGUAAAUUAGCAGAUUCAGUAAAUAAGUAGAGAGGGUAGGAUUAGGAAUUGAUUUUGCUGUUGAUUUUACAAAGGAAUACUACCAGUCUGCUUUAAUUUAACUCAUCAUUCUCUUCCACAAACAAAAUUCAAUAAUAAAGUGUGAUUGUUCCUGUGUCUUUAUGCUCUUUUCUGUUCACAUGACAAUACCAAGGAACAUUUUGUCACAAAAGAAAUGGUUUGUUUGUGUUUGGUUCACACUUCACAUGACGAUUCAUUAACUAAGGAGGAGGAAUCAGAUUUUAUUAUAUACGUACAUACAUCAAUACAUACACCUUUAAGCUUUAAUAGCUCCUUCCCAUUCUCAUACCAUGUGAGUGACACAGUCAAAUAUUGAUGCUACUUUAUAGACUUUUCAUCACCUCCUUGGGGCCUUUAUGUUCCUCCCUCUUGCUGUCUAGUAACAUUGUCCUUAUUUUUCCUACCUCGUAAUUGGGAAAAUUCAUCAUUCUGGUCUAUGCUAGUAGAAACCCUUCUUCAAUCAUUCACUUCACCCUUUAGUUUUCUCCUUUUCCCCAUUUGAUUUUGGCAUUGUCCUCCAUAGGGUAGUCUCUUUGUUCUAUGAGACAAAGAAAACUAGUUCACUCUCUUAUCUAUUACUUGGAAAUGAAGAAUAGCACCUUCAUCCUUGCUCCACCCUUUUCCUGGUUUUGUUUUCCUCUCAAAAGUGUUUUCCUUGCAUGUUGAGAAAAGAAUGUAAUGUGCUACUGGUUCAAGAGAUUUGAUCAUGGAUGUCAUCUGUUCAUUGUAGGGUUUGAUCAAUAGUAGUGCAG